Molecule: ribosomal RNA, 460 nt
Filed under: uncultured bacterium
Lineage: Bacteria
Description: partial 16S ribosomal RNA
Rfam family: Bacterial small subunit ribosomal RNA
Source: RNAcentral
CCUACGGGUGGCAGCAGUAGGGAAUCUUCGUCAAUGGACGGGAGCCUGAACCAGCAAAGUCGCGUGAAGGAUGAAGGAUCUCUGGUUUGUAAGCUUCUUUUAUAUGGGAAUAAGGUGGGGAACGUGUUCCUUUUUGUAUGUACCGUAUGCUUAAGCGUCGGCUAACUCCGUGCCAGCAGCCGUGGUAAUGCGGAGGCUGCGCGCGUUAUCCGGAUUUAUUGGUUUGAAAGGUUGCGUAGGUGGUUAAUUAAGUCAGCGGUGAAAGUUUGUGGCUCAACCAUAAAAUUGCCGUUGAAACUGGUUGACUUGAGUAUAUGUGAGGUAGGCGGAAUGCGUGGUGUAGCGGUGAAAUGCAUAGAUAUCACGCAGAACUCCGAUUGCGAAGGCAGCUUACUAAAUUAUAACUGACACUGAAGCACGAAAGCGUGGGGAGCAAACAGGAUUAGAUACCCGGGUAGUC